UGGUCCCACCUGACCCCAUGCCGAACUCAGAAGUGAAACGCCGUAGCGCCGAUGGUAGUGUGGGGUCUCCCCAUGCGAGAGUAGGGAACUGCCAG
Molecule: ribosomal RNA, 95 nt
Filed under: Citrobacter freundii
Lineage: Bacteria; Pseudomonadati; Pseudomonadota; Gammaproteobacteria; Enterobacterales; Enterobacteriaceae
Also listed under: 1 other name
Source: RNAcentral